This 493-nucleotide long non-coding RNA is filed under the name Rattus norvegicus (Norway rat). RNAcentral describes it as "long non-coding RNA NONRATT019509". Lineage: Eukaryota; Metazoa; Chordata; Mammalia; Rodentia; Muridae. The record is from RNAcentral.
UUGAAAAUGAGUAAUUGAGACAACUGGGAAACCCUUAGCAGAAGUGCAACUCUUAGAAAAAUGACUAACAAGUGAAAAAUAAGCAGCCAAGUCUUCUGCCCAGUGGAAAUAAAUGCCGAAGCAAACAUGCAAAAGGCCAUACAUCCAACCAUUGGGCGCUUCCCAGAACGUCUGUUCUCACUUCUCACACAAUUCUAAAUGUUUAACGAGUUUUCAAGUCUACAGAAGAUGGAAUUUAAGGAAGGGGAACAGACUUCCAGAGAAACCAAAGUUGAAGAAAAAGAGUGACAGCAAUAGACAAAAUGUCAAGUGGGCCAGAGGAGCUCAAAUCUCAUUUAUGGAGAACACUUGGUCCCAAAAGAGUACCAGUAUGGCACAUUUAAAAUGAUGACUGAGCAGUACACAGCCCACACAUAUUCAAAGCUAAGUAUUUGUAGAGCAAGUGUUUUUUAAACGCUUAUAACACAGAUGGUUAAAAAGAAAGAUAAAGGAA